CCCUUAGAUGUCCUGGGCCGCACGCGCGCUACACUGACAUGUUCAACAAGCCUCCUAGUUCGACAGGAUUUGGGAAAUCUUUGAACGCAUGUCGUGAUAGGGAUAGAUCAUUGCAAUUAUUGAUCUUGAACGAGGAAUUCCUAGUAAACGCGAGUCAUCAGCUCGCAUUGAUUACGUCCCUGCCCUUUGUACACACCGCCCGUCGCACCUACCGAUUGAAUGUUUCGGUGAAGAUUCCGGAUAGGAUUUUUUUGAUUUAUUUCAAUUCUGUCUUAAAAGCUAUCUAAACCUCAACAUUUAGAGGAAGGUGAAGUCGUAACA
RNAcentral lists this ribosomal RNA (321 nucleotides) under uncultured eukaryote. Its description in RNAcentral is "partial 18S ribosomal RNA". It matches the Rfam family "Eukaryotic small subunit ribosomal RNA", at positions 1470 to 1796 of the family's 1831-position model. The record is from RNAcentral.